UACAGAGGGUGCGAGCGUUAAUCGGAUUUACUGGGCGUAAAGCGUGCGUAGGCGGUCUGUCAAGUCGGAUGUGAAAUCCCCGGGCUCAACCUGGGAAUUGCAUUCGAUACUGGGAAGCUAGAGUAUGGGAGAGGAUGGUAGAAUUCCAGGUGUAGCGGUGAAAUGCGUAGAGAUCUGGAGGAAUACCGAUGGCGAAGGCAGCAAUCUGGCCCAAUACUGACGCUGAGGUACGAAAGCAUGGGGAGCAAACAGG
This 253-nucleotide unclassified non-coding RNA is filed under the name uncultured Moraxellaceae bacterium. RNAcentral describes it as "contains 16S-23S intergenic spacer region". It matches the Rfam family "Bacterial small subunit ribosomal RNA", at positions 524 to 776 of the family's 1533-position model. Lineage: Bacteria; Pseudomonadati; Pseudomonadota; Gammaproteobacteria; Moraxellales; Moraxellaceae. The record is from RNAcentral.